GAUGAACGCUGGCGGCGUGCCUAACACAUGCAAGUCGAGCGUGAACCCUGCGAAUGAAACUUCGGUCGAUUUUGCAGGGGGAAAGCGGCGGACGGGUGAGUAACGCGUAGGUAACCUGCCCCAUACUGAGGGAUAGCCUCGGGAAACCGGGAUUAAUACCUCAUAACACCGUAUAUUCGCAUGGAUGUGCGGUCAAAGAUUUAUCGGUAUGGGAUGGGCCUGCGUCUGAUUAGCUGGUUGGUGGGUAACGGCCUACCAAGGCGACGAUCAGUAGCCGACCUGAGAGGGUGAUCGGCCACAUUGGAACUGAGACACGGUCCAGACUCCUACGGGAGGCAGCAGUGGGGAAUAUUGGGCAAUGGGCGCAAGCCUGACCCAGCAACGCCGCGUGAGGGAAGAAGGUCUUCGGAUUGUAAACCUCUGUCCUUGGGGACGAAAAAAUGACGGUACCCAAGGAGGAAGCUCCGGCUAACUACGUG
This 479-nucleotide ribosomal RNA is filed under the name uncultured bacterium. RNAcentral's name for it is "bacterial SSU rRNA". It matches the Rfam family "Bacterial small subunit ribosomal RNA", at positions 28 to 507 of the family's 1533-position model. The record is from RNAcentral.